RNAcentral lists this ribosomal RNA (636 nucleotides) under Neophysopella vitis. RNAcentral describes it as "partial large subunit ribosomal RNA". It matches the Rfam family "Eukaryotic large subunit ribosomal RNA", at positions 14 to 635 of the family's 3401-position model. The record is from RNAcentral. Lineage: Eukaryota; Fungi; Basidiomycota; Pucciniomycetes; Pucciniales; Crossopsoraceae.
GGUGGGAUUACCCGCUGAACUUAAGCAUAUCAAUAAGCGGAGGAAAAGAAACUAACAAGGAUUCCCCUAGUAACGGCGAGUGAAGAGGGAAAAGCCCAAAUUUGUAAUCUGGCUCUUUUAGAGUCCGAGUUGUAAUUUUGAGAACUGUUUUCAGUGCUGGACCAUGUUUAAGUCUGUUGAAAAACAGCAUCAUUGAGGGUGAUAAUCCCGUUCAUGAUAUGGACUACCAGUACUUUAUGAUACAGUCUCUAAGAGUCGAGUUGUUUGGGAAUGCAGCUCAAAGUGGGUGGUAAAUUCCAUCUAAGGCUAAAUAUAGGUGAGAGACCGAUAGCAAACAAGUACCGUGAGGGAAAGAUGAAAAGAACUUUGGAAAGAGAGUUAACAGUACGUGAAAUUGCUGAAAGGGAAACAAUUGAAGUUAGCCUUGUUAUUGUCAGUUCAGCUCUUUUAGAGUGUAUUCUGAUGAUUAACGACCAACAUCAGUCUUUGAGUGCUGGAUAAGGGUUUUGGAAAUGUAGCAGUCUCGGCUGUGUUAUAGUCCAUUACUUUGAUACAGUGCUUGGGAUUGAGGAUCGCAGUAAGCCAUUUUAUGGUGGACCAAAUUUUUGGUCUUCUUACUGAGGAUGUUGGUGAAAU